CAUGUAGGCGGUUGUUUAAGUCUGAUGUGAAAGUCCUGGGCUCAACCCAGGAAGUGCAUUGGAUACUGGACAACUUGAGUACGGGAGAGGAAAGUGGAAUUUCGAGUGUAGGGGUGAAAUCCGUAGAUAUUCGAAGGAACACCAGUGGCGAAGGCGGCUCUCUGGACCGAUACUGACGCUGAGAUGCGAAAGCGUGGGGAGCAAACA
This 207-nucleotide ribosomal RNA is filed under the name uncultured bacterium. RNAcentral's name for it is "partial 16S ribosomal RNA". It matches the Rfam family "Bacterial small subunit ribosomal RNA", at positions 568 to 774 of the family's 1533-position model. The record is from RNAcentral.